CCUGAUAGCAAACAAUCUUUCUUAAAGUUGUCACAUGACUAUUAUGGAAAUCGCAACAGGAAGAGAAAGUACGGAAAAGCUCAAGAAUUUAAAAAAAAGGAGGAACAACCUGAUGUCAUCACAAGCAACUACAGAGGCAUAAAAAGAAAGGUGAAGCAAGGAGAAAGUAUUCUACUGGUUCAUCCACAUGAAGCGACGAUCUUUUCAUCAAUCACUGAGCAGUCAGGCUGUGGGUAUGGCCAACGCACAGUGUGCAGUUCUGCUCCUGACUUUAGCUAUAGCAGUGCAGGAGUGUAAUGGGAUACCAGAAAGAACCAGGUGCACUUCACAACCACCAUGUUUUGACCUACUAAUUGUCGAGAGAAUGGCCCAGCGUGUCAGCAAGGAUGUGCCAGGUGCAGACAGUGACAACAUUUUAUUAAAGAGCAAAACGUAUGAUAAAAUUCGCCAAAAGAAGUACCUCCACAGUUGUGUCCUAGAAAAAAUCUUUGAAUUCUAUGAGAAUGUCCUAUCCAGUGACCAGUAUAUUCAAAACGAUGGUCGUGAACUGAUCUACACCUUGGACAGAGUGAGAAAUUGCACUUAUAAAGUGAAGAGAUGCGAGAUGUUGUAUCAAAAGGCUAACCACCAAGCUGACUUAGAGAUUGCCGAAUCGGAUAUGAGUGCACAGGAGGUGGCCAUCAUUCAGCUACAAAAACUUAACCACGCUAGUGAAAGAUUAAAUGACACAACCAUCCUAGAGACAGCCAUGGAUGAACUGAAGUCUCUUCAUCACUACAUCCCUGGGAGUGCCUUCCUAAAAAGACCCAUAGGGGGCGCUACACACCGGUCUCCAGGACAGCAGUUUUCAGGUGUUUCAGGUCAAUCAGACCAAAGCAACAUGAGAUGAAUGUUGAGGAAAUUUUACUCGGGCAGCAUUUGGGAAUUUUAAUUUUAAUUCAUUAUCAUUCUACAAGUUACUACCUUUGUGGACAAUAAAACUACUAGGCCUCACACAUUCGAGCUCAAAUAAAAAUGAACCGAAGGCUUUUCUCAAAACUUUUCUGAAACUGUA
This is a long non-coding RNA of Ictalurus punctatus (channel catfish), 1054 nucleotides long. The record is from Ensembl. NCBI's taxonomy places the organism in Eukaryota, Metazoa, Chordata, Actinopteri, Siluriformes, Ictaluridae.